Molecule: non-coding RNA, 112 nt
Organism: Cherax quadricarinatus
Lineage: Eukaryota; Metazoa; Arthropoda; Malacostraca; Decapoda; Parastacidae
Source: RefSeq, a predicted model, not a curated record
UGUACUUGCUUCGGCCCGUACCCUAUACUAAAUUGGAAAAGAUACAGAGAAGAUUGCAUGGCCCCCGCGCAAGGUGGGCACGCCCCAAAACGGGGAAGCGUUCCACAUUUUU